CACAAUGACUCUCGGCAACGGAUAUCUCGGCUCUUGCAUCGAUGAAGAACGUAGCGAAAUGCGAUACUUGGUGUGAAUUGCAGAAUCCCGUGAACCAUCGAGUUUUUGAACGCAAGUUGCGCCCGAAGCCAUUAGGCUGAGGGCACGCCUGCCUGGGUGUCACA
RNAcentral lists this ribosomal RNA (164 nucleotides) under Sesbania brevipedunculata. Its description in RNAcentral is "5.8S ribosomal RNA". It matches the Rfam family "5.8S ribosomal RNA". From Rfam's summary of the family: 5.8S ribosomal RNA (5.8S rRNA) is a component of the large subunit of the eukaryotic ribosome. The record is from RNAcentral. Lineage: Eukaryota; Viridiplantae; Streptophyta; Magnoliopsida; Fabales; Fabaceae. RNAcentral also lists the same sequence under 1 other name.